GCCAAUAUGGUGUAGUGGUUAGAAUGUCGGACUACUAGGACUUCGGAGGAGCAGGGUUCAAAUCCCUGCUUGCCUAUGAGAUG
RNAcentral lists this transfer RNA (83 nucleotides) under Podarcis lilfordi (Lilford's wall lizard). RNAcentral describes it as "tRNA.Ser". The record is from RNAcentral. Lineage: Eukaryota; Metazoa; Chordata; Lepidosauria; Squamata; Lacertidae.